CCUACGGGUGGCUGCAGUCGAGAAUCAUUCACAAUGGGGGAAACCCUGAUGGUGCGACGCCGCGUGGGGGAAUGAAGGUCUUCGGAUUGUAAACCCCUGUCAUGUGGGAGCAAAUUAAAAAGAUAGUACCACAAGAGGAAGAGACGUCUAACUCUGUGCCAGCAGCCGCGGUAAUACAGAGGUCUCAAGCGUUGUUCGGAAGCACUGGGCGUAAAGCGUGCGUAGGCUGUUUCGUAAGUCGUGUGUGAAAGGCGCGGGCUCAACCCGCGGACGGCACAUGAUACUGCGAGACUAGAGUAAGGGAGGGGGAACCGGAAUUCUCGGUGUAGCAGUGAAAUGCGUAGAUAUCGAGAGGAACACUCGUGGUGAAGGCGGGUUCCUGGACAUUAACUGACGCUGAGGCACGAAGGCCAGGGGAGCGAAAGGGAUUAGAUACCCCUGUAGUC
This 446-nucleotide ribosomal RNA is filed under the name uncultured bacterium. RNAcentral describes it as "partial 16S ribosomal RNA". It matches the Rfam family "Bacterial small subunit ribosomal RNA", at positions 338 to 795 of the family's 1533-position model. The record is from RNAcentral.